RNAcentral lists this ribosomal RNA (301 nucleotides) under uncultured bacterium. RNAcentral's name for it is "partial 16S ribosomal RNA". It matches the Rfam family "Bacterial small subunit ribosomal RNA", at positions 509 to 807 of the family's 1533-position model. The record is from RNAcentral.
CAGCAGCCGCGGGAAUACGAAGGGGGCUAGCGUUGCUCGGAAUGACUGGGCGUAAAGGGCGCGUAGGCGGCGGCCAAAGUCAGGCGUGAAAUUCCCGGGCUCAACCUGGGGGCUGCGUUUGAUACUUGGUUGCUUGAGUGGGGAAGAGGGUCGUGGAAUUCCCAGUGUAGAGGUGAAAUUCGUAGAUAUUGGGAAGAACACCGGUGGCGAAGGCGGCGACCUGGUCCUUGACUGACGCUGAGGCGCGAAAGCGUGGGGAGCAAACAGGAUUAGAUACCCCCGUAGUCCCUGUCUCUUAUAC